RNAcentral lists this ribosomal RNA (328 nucleotides) under uncultured bacterium. RNAcentral describes it as "bacterial SSU rRNA". It matches the Rfam family "Bacterial small subunit ribosomal RNA", at positions 570 to 898 of the family's 1533-position model. The record is from RNAcentral.
CGUAGGCGGACGACCAAGUCGGGGGUGAAAUCCUUCGGCUCAACCGGAAAUAGCCUUCGAUACUGGCCGUCUGGAGGGAGGUAGGGGCGUGUGGAACUUCCGGUGGAGCGGUGAAAUGCGUUGAUAUCGGAAGGAACUCCGGUGGCGAAAGCGACACGCUGGAUCUCAUCUGACGCUGAGGCGCGAAAGCCAGGGGAGCGAACGGGAUUAGAUACCCCGGUAGUCCUGGCCCUAAACGAUGGGUACUGGGUAGUGGACUUGACAUGGGUUCACUGCCGAAGCGAAAGUGGUAAGUACCCCGCCUGGGGAGUAUGGUCGCAAGGCUGAA